Chlorocebus sabaeus (green monkey) is the source of this 2961-nucleotide non-coding RNA. NCBI's taxonomy places the organism in Eukaryota, Metazoa, Chordata, Mammalia, Primates, Cercopithecidae. The record is from RefSeq and is a predicted model, not a curated record.
UGAGGAUGUCUCAGAAGGGGCUGUGAGUGGAGGUGUGUGGGGACUGCAGCACCUCGGAUCCUGGCUGGGCAUCUAUCAAUAGGGGUGUAUUGGUGCAUGAUGGGUGCUGCAGCGUGCACCAGAGCCUGUGAUGCCACAUCUCCAUUGUCAAGCACCUUUGUCACAGUGCCUGGCCUCCCAGGCUACAGCAAAUGGUGCACAGGCUUGCCAGCAGCCGGGCCAACUCCAUCUGGGAGCACUCUCUGUUGGACCCGCACAAGUGCAGAGCCGCCAUCAUAAAGCUACCCCCAAGACAAAGUCCACCCCAUCAAGUCAGAGUUCAUCACGGCCAAGUACAAGAUGCUGGCGUUUGUCCACAAGCUUCCCUGCCAGGACGAUGAGGGGGGUCGCUACCAAAGACCACAGCAAGCAACUGCACUCAAGCAUGUGGACAGGCAACCUGGAGACAUGUCUACCACAACUAUGCCUGGGUGCCCAGGCCAACUUCUUCCACCCACAGAAGGGCACCACACCUCUGUACGUGGCUGCCCAGGCAGGGCAGACACUGCAGGCCGAGCUGCUUGUAGUGUAUCGGACUGACCCUGGCUCCCCUGAGGUUAAUGGCUGCACACCCAUUGACUAUGCCAGGCAGGCUGGGCACCAUGAGCUGGCAGAAAGGCUGGUUGAGUGUCAACAUGAGCUCACUGACCAGUUGGCCUUCUCCCUCUGUGGACACAAGCCGGUUCACAAGAAUGGGCAUUACAUCAUCCCAGAGAUGGCUGACAGCCUGAACCUAUCCGAAUUGGCCAAAGCUGCUAAGAAGAAGCUUCAGGCGCACAGCAACCACCUUUUUGAGAAACUCGCCAUGGAUCUGUAUGAGGAGGUGGAUCAAAAAGAAAAUGAUGCAGUGUGGGUGGUUACCCCAAACCACAGCACUCUGGUGCCAGAGCACAGUGUCGUGCCCUUCCUGCCUGUUAACCCAGAAUACUUAGCCACGCAAAAUCACGGGUGACAGAAGCUGGCCUGCUUUAAUGCCCGAGAGUUUGCCACCUUGAUCACAGACAGACAUUCUCAGUGAGGCCAAGUGGAAACAGCAGGGCAAGAGCCUGAGCAGCCCCACAGACAACCUCCAGCUGUCCAUGGGGAGCCAGAGUGACCUCGACGACCAGCACGACUACAACAGUGUGGCCUCUGAUGAAGACACAGACCAGGAGCCCCUGUGCAGCACCGGCACCACUGGGAGCAACCACGCCCAGAGCAUGGACUCCUGGGACUUGUCUGACUGGGCUGUGAUGCAGGAGUAUCUGGAGCUGAAGAAGGCCCUGGCUACCUCUGAGGCAAAGGUGCAGCAGUUCAUGAAGGUCAACAGUAGCCUGGGCGAUGAGCUCCGGAGGCUGCGGCGAGAGAUCCACAAGCUGCAGGCAGAGAACCUGCAGCUCCAGCAGCCUCCGGAGCCAGUGCCCACACCUCCACUUCCCAGUGAAUGGGCGGAACACACACCCAUGGUACCAGGCGAGAGCACACACCACAGGGAUCGCCAGGCUUUCUCCCUGUAUGAACCUGGCUCAGCCCAGAAGCUCUUUGGGGCCCCACGUGGGGACGAGCUCACUAUGCGGCUGCAGCCUUUCCACAGCACUGAGCUAGAGGACGAAGCCAUCUAUUCAGUGCACGUCUCUGCUGGCCUUUACCGGAUCCGGAAGGGAGUGUCUGCCUCUUCUGUGCCCUUCACUCCCUCCUCCCCACUGCUGUCCUGCUCCCAGGAAGGAAGCUGCCACAUGAGCAAGGUUUCCCACCACAGCUGCCGAGCGGACAGUGACUACGAGAACACGCCAAGUGGGAACCCGCUGCUGGGGCUCGGAUGGAAGAGGAUUUUAGAGCUAGGCAAAGAGGAAGACUUCCACCCAAAGUUGGAAAGCCUGGAUGGAGACCUAGAUCUUGGGCUUCCCAGCAGAGAGGAUGUCAUCUUGAAGACAGAGCAGGUCACCAAGAACAUUCAGGAACUGUUGCCGGCAGCCCAGGAGUUUAAGCAUGACAGCUUCAUUCCCUGCUCAGAGAAGAUCCAUUUGGCUGUGACCGAGAUGGCCUCCCUCUUCCCAAAGAGGCCAGCCCUGGCGCCAGUGUGGAGCUUACUGCGGCUGCUCAACGCCAGCACCUACUGACUGCAGAGUGAGUGUGGGAAGACAGUGCCCCCAGAGCCCAGAGCCCCAGUGGACUUCCAGCUGCUGACUCAGCAAGUGAUCCAGUGUGCCUGUAUCACCAAGGCUGCCAAGCAGCUGGUCACCAUCACCACCUGAGAGAGAAGCAGUGACCUCUCUCCUCACACCCUCACCUGCACCCUAGGACCUUACUGGCCACAGGAGCUGGGCCACUCCAGACAUUAAUCCCCACCUCAACAGAGCCACUGGCACAAGUGCCCUUAAAUACUUGCUCAAGUAUUUAAUGUGGUUGCAGUUAACAUACUAGCAAAAGUUACUGUGAGUCUGAAGUUCUAAAGCUUUGAAAGAUGCUCUGCCAAAGUGGCUCACUCAGGUGGCUCUGGGCAGGAGGCCACAGCUUUGGUCUAUUGGCCAUUGGCAGCUUUAAUCUUUUGUCAUGCAGGUUUCUCCAUAGGCUGCUCAAAUAUCUUCAUGUCCUAAUAGCUAUCUUCUUUGACAGUAACUGCUGUGAAACAGAGAGCAAAGAAAAAGCCACAGUGGUGUUUAUGACGUGGAUGCCUAAGUUACACAUCAUCACUUCUGCCUUAUACUAUUCAUUAGAAGCAAGUAUCUAUGUUAAGCCCACACUCGAGGAGAGGGAAAUUAGGUUUUACCUCCUGAUAUUUGAAGUAUCAAGCCAUGUGUGGUCAUGUAAAAUCCAACCCAGUUUGCCCUCUAGCCACAGAUUAUUUAUAUUUAUCCCAUAUGCAAAAUACAUUCACCCCCUCACAAAGGCCCCACAGAUUUUAUCCAAUUAUAGAAUCAUGUAGAACUUCAGGAUAUUGCC